AUAAUGAAGUCAGAAGUCAGAAGUUUGAAGUCAGAAGUUGGCGGAAGACCAAA
RNAcentral lists this unclassified non-coding RNA (53 nucleotides) under Crocosphaera watsonii WH 0002. The record is from RNAcentral. Lineage: Bacteria; Bacillati; Cyanobacteriota; Cyanophyceae; Chroococcales; Aphanothecaceae.